GGUUGAUCCUGCCAGUAGUCAUAUGCUUGUCUCAAAGAUUAAGCCAUGCAUGUCUAAGUAUAAACUGCUUUAUACUGUGAAACUGCGAAUGGCUCAUUAAAUCAGUUAUAGUUUAUUUGAUGGUACUUCUACUCGGAUAACCGUAGUAAUUCUAGAGCUAAUACGUGCGUACAUCCCGACUUCUGGAAGGGACGUAUUUAUUAGAUAAAAGGCUGACCGGGCUCUGCCCGACUCGCGCUGAAUCAUGAUAACUUCACGAAUCGCAUGGCCUUGU
This 274-nucleotide ribosomal RNA is filed under the name uncultured eukaryote. Its description in RNAcentral is "partial 18S ribosomal RNA". It matches the Rfam family "Eukaryotic small subunit ribosomal RNA", at positions 6 to 282 of the family's 1831-position model. The record is from RNAcentral.